RNAcentral lists this transfer RNA (38 nucleotides) under Myodes glareolus (Bank vole). RNAcentral's name for it is "partial tRNA-Thr". The record is from RNAcentral. Lineage: Eukaryota; Metazoa; Chordata; Mammalia; Rodentia; Cricetidae.
GCCCUGAUAGUAUAAACAUUACGCUGGUCUUGUAAACC